CAAGGAAUUUUCCCCAAUGGGCGCAAGCCUGAGGGAGCAACGCCGCGUGCGGGACGACGGCCUUCGGGUUGUAAACCGCUUUUACGGGGGACGAUUGUGACGGUACCCCGCGAACAAGCCCCGGCUAACUCUGUGCCAGCAGCCGCGGUAAGACAGAGGGGGCAAGCGUUGUCCGGACUGACUGGGCGUAAAGCGCGCGCAGGCGGACGCGGGCGUCGGUGCGGAAAGGUCGCCGCUUAACGGCGGAGAGCGUACCGAUACGCCGCGUCUGGAGCGCGGGCGAGGGUGGUGGAAUUGCCGGUGUAGUGGUGAAAUGCGUAGAGAUCGGCAGGAACACCCGUGGCGCAAGCGGCCACCUAGCCCGUUGCUGACGCUGAGGCGCGACAGCGUGGGGAGCGAACUGGAUUAGAUACCCGCGUAGUCC
This 424-nucleotide ribosomal RNA is filed under the name uncultured bacterium. RNAcentral describes it as "bacterial SSU rRNA". It matches the Rfam family "Bacterial small subunit ribosomal RNA", at positions 355 to 796 of the family's 1533-position model. The record is from RNAcentral.